This 668-nucleotide ribosomal RNA is filed under the name uncultured cyanobacterium. Its description in RNAcentral is "bacterial SSU rRNA". It matches the Rfam family "Bacterial small subunit ribosomal RNA", at positions 99 to 795 of the family's 1533-position model. Lineage: Bacteria; Bacillati; Cyanobacteriota. The record is from RNAcentral.
CGGACGGGUGAGUAACGCGUGAGAAUCUGCCCUCAGGAAGAGGAUAACAGCUGGAAACGGCUGCUAAUACUCUAUACGCCGAGAGGUAAAAGGAUUUAUCCGCCUGAGGAUGAGCUCGCGUCUGAUUAGCUAGUUGGUAAGGUAAAGGCCUACCAAGGCGACGAUCAGUAGCUGGUCUGAGAGGAUGAUCAGCCACACUGGGACUGGGACACGGCCCAGACUCCUACGGGAGGCAGCAGUGGGGAAUUUUCCGCAAUGGGCGAAAGCCUGACGGAGCAAUACCGCGUGAGGGAUGAAGGCCUCUGGGCUGUAAACCUCUUUUUUCAGGGAGGAAAAAAAUGACGUGUACCUGAAGAAUAAGCAUCGGCUAACUCCGUGCCAGCAGCCGCGGUAAGACGGAGGAUGGCAAGUGUUAUCCGGAAUUACUGGGCGUAAAGCGUCUGUAGGUGGUUUAAUAAGUCAACUGUUAAAUCUUGAGGCUUAACUUCAAAACAGCAGUCGAAACUAUUAGACUAGAGUAUAGUAGGGGUAAAGGGAAUUUCCAGUGGAGCGGUGAAAUGCGUAGAUAUUGGAAAGAACACCGAUGGCGAAAGGCACUUUACUGGGCUAUUACUAACACUCAGAGACGAAAGCUAGGGUAGCAAAAGGGAUUAGAUACCCCUGUAGUC